CUGGUCACUCCACUAAAAACCUCCCCGAAUGGAUGUGAGGCCACUGCACUCAUUGGAGCUGAUAAAUAAGAUCAUGGCCAGUGAGCAACCAUCACAGAACACCCACUAUGUGCUUGGCUGGACUCGGCUGGGGGAGACAGGGCCGGAAGGGCCGUUUUACUAGCCUUGCUCUCCGUAGACCAUACUAACACACAGAGGUACAUAUUAAAACAUGAAGACCCUCAUGCUUGUACAGAACCCCAUAGUCUUACUCUCACCCUGUUCAGACAUGUGACCAUAUGUGGAUCUCAGACCUGCAAGCUAGACAGAAGAAAGAACUUCCCCGGGUGUGGUUGUCAAUGCAGUACCGUAAAAGUAUCAGAAGGCCUCUCUUCCUGGAAGGCGGUGAACCAGGAGGGGCCCCGUCUUGCAGCGCCAGGCAUGAGGAACUCAGUGUCUUCCUGCUCAGGUUUGAGGAGGGUGUUCUGUGCAAGUCAGCCUGUGACUUCUCGUCUCCUUUGCACCCCACACACCCACUUGCUCGGCUUUCUGAAGAACAGAGCCCCAUCCUGUGAUCACCACCCUCCACCAGGCACUCUGGGAGCCAGCAUGAUCCUCAGGCUUCACACGCAGUUUUCCCGGCUGAACCCCAGUCCAUGCUGCCACCGCCCGGCCGCCGAGCAAGAGGGAGGUGGGUCUCGGCAGGCUGUCUAUCACGCCUUCUUUCAGCAGCA
RNAcentral lists this long non-coding RNA (713 nucleotides) under Equus caballus (horse). RNAcentral's name for it is "lncRNA (ENSECAG00000052065.1)". The record is from RNAcentral. Lineage: Eukaryota; Metazoa; Chordata; Mammalia; Perissodactyla; Equidae.